AUUGAACGCUGGCGGCAGGCUUAACACAUGCAAGUCGAGCGAGCGGCGGACGGGUGAGUAAAGUCUGGGAAACUGCCCGAUGGAGGGGGAUCACUACUGGAAACGGUAGCUUAUACCGCAUACCAUCAGAUGUGCCCAGAUGGGAUUAGCUAGUAGGUGGGGUAAAGGCUAACCUAGGCGACGAUCCCUAGCUGGUCUGAGAGGAUGACCAGCAACACUGGAACUGAAACACGGUCCAGAAUCCUUGUUGUGGCAGCAGGGGGGAAUAUUGCACAAUGGGCGAAAGCCUGAUGCAGCCAUGCCGCGUAUGUGAAGAAGGACUUCGGGUUGUAAAGCACUUUCAGCGGGGAGACGUUACGCGCAGAAGAAGCACCGGCUAACUCCGUGCCAGCAGCCGCGGUAAUAC
This 406-nucleotide ribosomal RNA is filed under the name uncultured bacterium. RNAcentral's name for it is "partial 16S ribosomal RNA". It matches the Rfam family "Bacterial small subunit ribosomal RNA", at positions 30 to 526 of the family's 1533-position model. The record is from RNAcentral.